AGGAUCAUUGCUUAAAUUUAUAACAAAACAGACAGAUAAAGUGCCCCUACCAAAUGCUGAUGAUGAAAACCUUCCAGCAACAUCCACCUCCAGUGGGAUAGUGGCCACUCAACCUGUUGGUUGUCAUGAAGAGCAGGAAGAGACACCAGAGGCACAUCAAGCAUCCAUUCCAUGUUAUGACACUGAUAACUUUCCAGCAACAUCCACCUCCAGUGGGAUAGUGGCCACUCACCCUGUUGGUUGUCAUGAUGAGCAGGAAGAGACAACAGAGGCACAUCGAGCACCCAUUCCAUGUUAUGACACUGAUAACUUUCCGGCAACGUCCACCACCAACAGGACAGGAAUUCCUACCCCUCAUCAUGACACGUCAGCUGCUACUACAAACAGGUUUCAAUACAUCAGAAGAUCCUGCAGAAUGGCCAAGUGUUCUUAGCCAUACUGAAGUGUGUGCAUUAGUCACAAAAGGGCCUAUACAGAUCAAAGAUGUAGUAUUCCCACAGAAUUCUGAGAAAAAUCCACGUAGAUUCACAAAGGAAAACUACCAAAUGGUAAUGAAAAAUGGGGAGAAGAUACAUCGAACAUGGCUUCUUUAUUCAGUUAGCAAAGACUCUGUAUUCUGUUUUGCGUGCAAACUUUUUGGUAAACAAGACAAAGCACUUACAGUAGGAGGUUUUAGAAAUUGGAGGAAUCUGGCUGGACAUCUAAAGGAACAUGAAUAUUCCAAAACACACAUUACCUGUAUGACAAGUUGGCAUCAACUCCAGAUGAGGCUCAAAACUAAAACAGCCAUUGAUCAGAUUAACCAGGAUUUAAUGCACCUUGAGAUGCAUCACUGGAGAGGAGUCAUACGCAGAGUGAUCGCCAUAAUA
Long non-coding RNA from Cyprinodon variegatus (sheepshead minnow), 869 nucleotides. RefSeq lists it as uncharacterized. NCBI's taxonomy places the organism in Eukaryota, Metazoa, Chordata, Actinopteri, Cyprinodontiformes, Cyprinodontidae. The record is from RefSeq and is a predicted model, not a curated record. The transcript is spliced from 4 exons.